GCGGGUGUGGCGGAAUUGGCAGACGCACUAGAUUUAGGAUCUAGCGUCGAGAGACGUGGGGGUUCAAGUCCCUUCACCCGCACCA
RNAcentral lists this transfer RNA (85 nucleotides) under Aerococcus urinaeequi. Its description in RNAcentral is "tRNA-Leu". It matches the Rfam family "tRNA". From Rfam's summary of the family: Transfer RNA (tRNA) molecules are approximately 80 nucleotides in length. Their secondary structure includes four short double-helical elements and three loops (D, anti-codon, and T loops). Lineage: Bacteria; Bacillati; Bacillota; Bacilli; Lactobacillales; Aerococcaceae. The record is from RNAcentral. RNAcentral also lists the same sequence under 6 other names.